Non-coding RNA from Emys orbicularis (European pond turtle), 73 nucleotides. The record is from the annotation of a RefSeq genome assembly. NCBI's taxonomy places the organism in Eukaryota, Metazoa, Chordata, Testudines, Emydidae.
GCUGAAGUAGCUCAGUUGGGAGAGCGUUAGACUGAAGUUUUAAAGGUACCCAGUUCAAUCUUGGGCUUUGGCA